UAGGUGANCCUGCGGAAGGAUCAUUA
RNAcentral lists this ribosomal RNA (26 nucleotides) under Cortinarius traganus. RNAcentral's name for it is "partial 18S ribosomal RNA". Lineage: Eukaryota; Fungi; Basidiomycota; Agaricomycetes; Agaricales; Cortinariaceae. The record is from RNAcentral.